GACGAACGCUGGCGGCGUGCCUAACACAUGCAAGUCGAACGAGAAGCCCGCAAGGGUUGUAAAGUGGCGGACGGGUGCAUAACACGUGGGUAAUCUACCCUUUGGUCUGAGAUAACCUGCCGAAAGGCGGGCUAAUACCGGAUAAGACCACGGCUCUGAGGAGCUGUGGGAAAAGGCCCGCAAGGGUCGCCGAUCGAUGAGCCCGCGGCCUAUCAGGUAGUUGGUGAGGUAAUGGCUCACCAAGCCUACGACGGGUAGCUGGUCUGAGAGGACGACCAGCCACACUGGAACUGAGACACGGUCCGGACUCCUACGGGAGGCAGCAGUGGGGAAUAUUGCGCAAUGGGCGAAAGCCUGACGCAGCAACGCCGCGUGGGUGAUGAAGGCCUGGUU
This 393-nucleotide ribosomal RNA is filed under the name uncultured bacterium. Its description in RNAcentral is "bacterial SSU rRNA". It matches the Rfam family "Bacterial small subunit ribosomal RNA", at positions 28 to 424 of the family's 1533-position model. The record is from RNAcentral.